GAUGUGUGCCUUUCUAACGUUCAGCUUUCCCCUGCCCAAGCCGAAUCCCUGACCACCCUGCGCAGUCUCUCAACCCUGAGACGGCCUCAUCGUUCACUGCUGUGCUGGUCCGCGGCAGAUUAAUAACACAUUUGCUCAAGAUGCAUAUUUUCCCCAGCUACUGAUUGCUGAUUCUUUUACACCAGAAAGUCUGGGGAGGCGGUGUCUGCACACCAACACGCCACUUAACUGUCAAUCCCAUUUACACACAACUUUCUGAUGAGGAUCCCUUUGAGUAAAGUCUUAAAUAAGGCAAAAA
This is a long non-coding RNA of Talpa occidentalis (Iberian mole), 298 nucleotides long. RefSeq lists it as uncharacterized. The record is from RefSeq and is a predicted model, not a curated record. The transcript has 3 exons. Lineage: Eukaryota; Metazoa; Chordata; Mammalia; Eulipotyphla; Talpidae.